This 254-nucleotide ribosomal RNA is filed under the name uncultured bacterium. RNAcentral's name for it is "partial 16S ribosomal RNA". It matches the Rfam family "Bacterial small subunit ribosomal RNA", at positions 524 to 776 of the family's 1533-position model. The record is from RNAcentral.
UACGUAGGGGGCGAGCGUUGUCCGAAUUUACUGGGCGUAAAGAGCGCGUAGGCGGGUUCUUAAGUGAGAGGUGAAAGGUUCAGGGCUCAACCCGAACAGUGCCUUUCAUACUGGGAGCCUUGAGUGUGGGAGAGGCGAGUGGAAUUUCUGGUGUAGCGGUGAAAUGCGCAGAUAUCAGGAGGAACACCAAUGGCGAAGGCAGCUCGCUGGGACGGUACUGACGCUGAGGCGCGAAAGCGUGGGGAGCAAACAGG